Long non-coding RNA from Symsagittifera roscoffensis, 1639 nucleotides. RefSeq lists it as uncharacterized. The transcript is spliced from 4 exons. NCBI's taxonomy places the organism in Eukaryota, Metazoa, Xenacoelomorpha, Acoela, Convolutidae. The record is from RefSeq and is a predicted model, not a curated record.
GACGCCUGCCAGUCGUUAAUAGGUACUUUUUCUACGCUCCGUCGCUGUGUGAUAUUUGGGCGAAUGUUACAUGGACAUUGUUUUAGAGAAGACGCCGGGACCAAGAAUCCCAACAGCAAUGCUGUGAAUCCCCAACAACAACAACAACAACAAAAUGUUUUUCGAUUAGGAUAUCAAUUUUAAUAGCUAGAAUCUUCUGUUAUAGAUGGCAGAGACUCGCAAACAUCCUAUAUGUGCGUUUUGGAAUCGACGUGUUCUCAUACCAAAACUUAAAAGAAAAUUUUCUGACUUGUUUUUGCGAUUUCUUAAACUAUUAUUCUUCUGAAAAUCCUUGCUCGUGGGUAAUUGGUUGUCUGUGCUAUCUUUGCCGUGAAACUAGUUUGUAACGUCUUUUCUUGUCUUUCAGGGAACUUCUGUUCCCCUCAAUCAUUUUGUAUAUUCUUAUAUAAUCUGAUUGUAAAUUCUCAAUAAAAAUAAUAAUAUCCGAAGAUUUGACCAAAUGACUUCCCAUGGCAAUCAAUCUUUUCAUAAAAACCAUAUCUCGUUGCACUUAAAAUGGACAAUACUCACAACCAUGUUUAAAAGGCGUUUCUUUGUACAUCUUGACUGGUCAGGUUAUUCACUCUGGCAGUUUUCUAGUUGAGUAAUGAAGCGUUGUUCUCAAACUAGCUUACAAACAAAUGUUAAUUUUAAGCGAAGAACGUAAUCGGUUGGUGCAAUUGAUUUAGAAAAGCACAUCUCUGGGAGAAUAUGCAAAAGGGCUGCCUCAAGUUGCGACAUAAGACUCUUUCAAUGAUCUCAACUGCGAGGAUUCAGCCUUCCGAAAUGUUGUGGCCGUGGAGUAUAAAGACACUCAUCAUAGAGUAAAUUGGAUGAAUCACUUCGAGGAAGCAGGUGUAUCUUUGACCGUUCUCAUCGUUUUGUUUAACGAUGCUAGAUCAAAGAGCCUCUGCAAAAUUGAGAUGAGCGCUUGCAGCCAUGAAAACGUACAGAGUGCCAGCUGAUCAGCUUGAUCUGCGAUGAUGCCUGCGGAAAUUGUGCUGACCUAAACGAAGAGAAGUACAGGACGAGAUCAGAACCGAGCAAAACGCCGAGGAGUUCUAAAGGGUUUAUUUGGCUGGGCCGAUUGUCUUGAACUUUUCUGAAGGAAGAUUUACUGGUCGUAUAAACAUUUAUACGAGAAACCGUAUGCUCUGGACUGUGGCAGCUGAAAAUCUGGAAAUGGAAAACAAUUGAUUUGAUUUGAUCAUUUGUUACUGAACUACACGACGUAUAGAAAAUUCGACCCAUCAAAUUGAAAACCAUUUUAGCCAUUUUUAGUGCAGUUUAUCCUCGUUGAGCUUCAAAGUGCAUUGAGCUUUUUAAUACUGAUGUGAUAUUAUUGCUGUGCUCAUCUAAAAAUCUGCUGUAAGAAGAAAUUUCGUUGAAGAAUAUUGAAAGAUUAUUUAUGAUUUAAUAAACUGCAAUGAAUUUUUUGCCGAUUGAUGUUAAACUAUGGGCCUCAUUGUGAUUAUGGAUACCUCGGACAGAUGAUGUGAUUAUGGAUUUUGCUCUAUGUAGAAUCGUCGAAUAAAAAUAGUUAAUUUACGAAAGUGGAUUAGCGUCCUUGAAUGUACGCGCGAAUCCAUAGCCAGUUGGA